This 80-nucleotide transfer RNA is filed under the name Elephantulus intufi (Bushveld elephant shrew). RNAcentral's name for it is "tRNA-Pro". The record is from RNAcentral. Lineage: Eukaryota; Metazoa; Chordata; Mammalia; Macroscelidea; Macroscelididae.
GCAAAAAUUUAGUCAGGAAAUAGUUUAAAAUAGAAUGUCAGCUUUGGGUGUUGAUGGUGGAGCGAGUGCUCUUUUCCUGA